This 439-nucleotide ribosomal RNA is filed under the name Penaeus monodon (black tiger shrimp). RNAcentral describes it as "partial 16S ribosomal RNA". It matches the Rfam family "Bacterial large subunit ribosomal RNA", at positions 1918 to 2558 of the family's 2925-position model. The record is from RNAcentral. Lineage: Eukaryota; Metazoa; Arthropoda; Malacostraca; Decapoda; Penaeidae.
UAUUUUUAAAGGGCCGCGGUAUACUGACCGUGCGAAGGUAGCAUAAUCAUUAGUCUUUUAAUUGGAGGCUUGUAUGAAUGGUUGGACAAAAAGUAAUCUGUCUCAAUUGUAAUAGUUGAACUUAACUUUUAAGUGAAAAGGCUUAAAUACUUUAAGGGGACGAUAAGACCCUAUAAAACUUGACAAUAAAUUAGUUAAAUUAUAAAUUGUUAGUAUAACUUGAUCUUAAUUAAUGUUUGUUGCGUUGGGGCGACGGGAAUAUAAUUAGUAACUGUUCUUAAAUACUUAUUAACAAGUAUAAUUGAAAAAUAAUUGAUCCUUUAUUAAAGAUUAAAAGAUUAAGUUACUUUAGGGAUAACAGCGUAAUCUUCUUUGAGAGUCCUCAUCGACAAGAAGGUUUGCGACCUCGAUGUUGAAUUAAGGUAUCCUUAUAAUGCAG